This 1175-nucleotide ribosomal RNA is filed under the name uncultured bacterium. Its description in RNAcentral is "bacterial SSU rRNA". It matches the Rfam family "Bacterial small subunit ribosomal RNA", at positions 207 to 1399 of the family's 1533-position model. The record is from RNAcentral.
AAAACUUUUCGCUAAAAGAUGAGCCUGUGUAGGAUUAGGUAGUUGGUAUUUGGGUAAAAGCCUACCAAGCCUAUGAUCCUUAGCUGUUCUGAGAGGUUGUACAGCCACACUGGGACUGAGACAAGGCCCAGGCUUCAUUUGGAGCCAGCAGUGAGGAAUUUUGGACAAUGAGCGAAAGCUUGAUCCAGCAAUACUACAUGAGUGAUGAAGGCUUUCAAGUUGUAAAACUCUUUGGUUGAGGAGGAUAAUGACAGUACUCAACAAAAUAGCCCCGGCUAACUUCGUGCCAGCAGCCGCGGUAAGACGAAGGGGGCGAGCGUUAUCCGGAAUGACUGGGCGUAAAGGGUCCGUAGGCAGCAUUUUUUGUUAGAGGUUAAAUAAAAAAGCUUAACUUUUUUCCGCUUCUAAAACGUAAAUGCUUUGAGUUUGAUAGGAGAUAGCAGAAUUUCACAUGGAGGGGUGAUAUCCGUAGAUAUGUGAAGGAAUACCAGAGGCGAAGGCGGCUAUCUAGACCAAUACUGACGUUGAGGGACGAAAGCAUGGGGAGCAAACAGGAUUAGAUACCCUGGUAGUCCAUGCCCUAAAAGAUGAGUGCUCGUGCUUAGAGAUUUUUAGGCACUUAGUUAACACGUUAAGCACUCCGCCUGGGGAGUACGACCGCAAGGUUGGAACUCAAAGGAAUUGACGGGGGCCUAUACAAGUGGUGGAGCAUGUGGUUUAAUGCGACAAUAUGCGCGAAACCUUACCAGUUCUUGACAUAAAAAAGAAAAAGUUUGAAAGGACAAUUUUGAAGAUUUUUACAGGUGCUGCAUGGCUGUCGUCAGCUCGUGUCGUGAGAUGUUAGGUUAACUCCUUUUAACGGGCGAAACCCCUUUUUUUAGUUGCCACUUAAAUUUAGUUUUAAAGCACUCUAAAAAGACUGCUCCCUUUUUUUAAUUUGGAGAGGAAGGUGGGGAUGACGUCAAGUCCUUAUGGCCCUUAUGAACUGGGCUACACACGUGCUACAAUGGUAAAGACAAUAAGAAGCAAUAGGGCAACCUGGAGCCAAUCUUUAAACUUUGCCAAAGUUCGGAUUGUGGACUGCAACUCGUCCACAUGAAGGUGGAAUCACUAGUAAUCGCACAUCAGCAUGUUGCGGUGAAUUAAUACGUAGGCCUUGCACACACCGCCCGUCA